RNAcentral lists this ribosomal RNA (637 nucleotides) under uncultured bacterium. Its description in RNAcentral is "bacterial SSU rRNA". It matches the Rfam family "Bacterial small subunit ribosomal RNA", at positions 9 to 632 of the family's 1533-position model. The record is from RNAcentral.
GAGUUUGAUCCUGGCUCAGGAUGAACGCUGGCGGCGUGCUUAACACAUGCAAGUCGAACGGGGAUGCCAUUUUCGAGGUGAUUAGUUUACUAAGAGCCAAGAUGUUGGCAUCUUAGUGGCGGACGGGUGAGUAACGCGUGGGUAACCUGCCUUAUACAGGGGGAUAACACUUAGAAAUAGGUGCUAAUACCGCAUAAGCGCACGGGGCUGCAUGGCCCAGUGUGAAAAACUCCGGUGGUAUAAGAUGGACCCGCGUCUGAUUAGCUUGUUGGCGGGGUAACGGCCCACCAAGGCGACGAUCAGUAGCCGGCCUGAGAGGGUGGACGGCCACAUUGGGACUGAGACACGGCCCAAACUCCUACGGGAGGCAGCAGUGGGGAAUAUUGGACAAUGGGGGGAACCCUGAUCCAGCGACGCCGCGUGAGUGAAGAAGUAUUUCGGUAUGUAAAGCUCUAUCAGCAGGGAAGAAAGAAAUGACGGUACCUGACUAAGAAGCCCCGGCUAACUACGUGCCAGCAGCCGCGGUAAUACGUAGGGGGCAAGCGUUAUCCGGAUUUACUGGGUGUAAAGGGAGCGUAGACGGUUACGCAAGUCUGGAGUGAAAGGCGGGGGCCCAACCCCCGGACUGCUUUGGAAA